UCCCUGGUGGUCUAGUGGUUAGGACUUAGUGCUUUUAUUCCUGUGGCCUGGGUUCAUUCCCUGGCCUGGAAA
Molecule: transfer RNA, 72 nt
Filed under: Sus scrofa (pig)
Lineage: Eukaryota; Metazoa; Chordata; Mammalia; Artiodactyla; Suidae
Rfam family: tRNA
About the family: Transfer RNA (tRNA) molecules are approximately 80 nucleotides in length. Their secondary structure includes four short double-helical elements and three loops (D, anti-codon, and T loops). Further hydrogen bonds mediate the characteristic L-shaped molecular structure. tRNAs have two regions of fundamental functional importance: the anti-codon, which is responsible for specific mRNA codon recognition, and the 3' end, to which the tRNAs corresponding amino acid is attached (by aminoacyl-tRNA synthetases). tRNAs cope with the degeneracy of the genetic code in two manners: having more than one tRNA (with a specific anti-codon) for a particular amino acid; and 'wobble' base-pairing, i.e. permitting non-standard base-pairing at the 3rd anti-codon position.
Source: Rfam by way of RNAcentral